ACAACAGUUGGAAACGACUGCUAAUACCGCAUAAGCCCACGGAUCCGCAUGGAUCUGCGGGAAAAGGAUUUAUUCGCUUCAGGAUGGACUCGCGUCCAAUUAGCUAGUUGGUGAGGUAACGGCCCACCAAGGCGACGAUUGGUAGCCGGACUGAGAGGUUGAACGGCCACAUUGGGACUGAGACACGGCCCAGACUCCUACGGGAGGCAGCAGUGGGGGAUAUUGCACAAUGGGGGAAACCCUGAUGCAGCGACGCCGCGUGGAGGAAGAAGGUUUUCGGAUUGUAAACUCCUGUCGUUAGGGACGAUAAUGACGGUACCUAACAAGAAAGCACCGGCUAACUACGUGCCAGCAGCCGCGGUAAAACGUAGGGUGCAAGCGUUGUCCGGAAUUACUGGGUGUAAAGGGAGCGCAGGCGGACCGGCAAGUUGGAAGUGAAAACUAUGGGCUCAACCCAUAAAUUGCUUUCAAAACUGCUGGCCUUGAGUAGUGCAGAGGUAGGUGGAAUUCCCGGUGUAGCGGUGGAAUGCGUAGAUAUCGGGAGGAACACCAGUGGCGAAGGCGACCUACUGGGCACCAACUGACGCUGAGGCUCGAAAGCAUGGGUAGCAAACAGGAUUAGAUACCCUGGUAGUCCAUGCCGUAAACGAUGAUUAAUAGGUGUUGGAGGAUUGACCCCUUCAGUGCCG
RNAcentral lists this ribosomal RNA (689 nucleotides) under uncultured bacterium. RNAcentral's name for it is "bacterial SSU rRNA". It matches the Rfam family "Bacterial small subunit ribosomal RNA", at positions 143 to 848 of the family's 1533-position model. The record is from RNAcentral.